RNAcentral lists this ribosomal RNA (486 nucleotides) under uncultured bacterium. Its description in RNAcentral is "partial 16S ribosomal RNA". It matches the Rfam family "Bacterial small subunit ribosomal RNA", at positions 30 to 507 of the family's 1533-position model. The record is from RNAcentral.
AUUGAACGCUGGCGGCAUGCCUUACACAUGCAAGUCGAACGGCAGCACGGGUGCUUGCACCUGGUGGCGAGUGGCGAACGGGUGAGUAAUACAUCGGAACAUGUCCUGUAGUGGGGGAUAGCCCGGCGAAAGCCGGAUUAAUACCGCAUACGAUCUACGGAUGAAAGCGGGGGACCUUCGGGCCUCGCGCUAUAGGGUUGGCCGAUGGCUGAUUAGCUAGUUGGUGGGGUAUAGGCCUACCAAGGCGACGAUCAUUAGCUGGUCUGAGAGGACGACCAGCCACACUGGGACUGAGACACGGCACAGACUCCUACGGGAGGCAGCAGUGGGGAAUUUUGGACAAUGGGCGAAAGCCUGAUCCAGCAAUGCCGCGUGUGUGAAGAAGGCCUUCGGGUGGUAGAGCACUUUUGUCCGGAAAGAAAUCCUUGGCUCUAAUACAGUCGGGGGAUGACGGUACCGGAAGAAUAAGCACCGGCUAACUACGUG